GAUGAAGAACGCAGCGAAAUGCGAUAAGUAAUGUGAAUUGCAGAAUUCAGUGAAUCAUCGAAUCUUUGAACGCACAUUGCGCCCCCUGGUAUUCCGGGGGGCAUGCCUGUCCGAGCGUCAUUACAACCCUCAAGCUCAGCUUGGUGUUGGGCCCCGCCGCCCCGGCGGGCCCUAAAGUCAGUGGCGGUGCCGUCCGGCUCCGAGCGUAGUAAUUCUUCUCGCUCUGGAGGUCCGGUCGUGUACUCGCCAGCAACCCCCAAUUUUUUCAGGUUGACCUCGGAUCAGGUAGGGAUACCCGCUGAACUUAAGCAUAUCAAUAAGCGGAGGA
This 328-nucleotide unclassified non-coding RNA is filed under the name soil metagenome. Its description in RNAcentral is "partial contains 5.8S ribosomal RNA, internal transcribed spacer 2, and large subunit ribosomal RNA". The stretch from base 1 to 120 matches the Rfam family "5.8S ribosomal RNA", at positions 35 to 154 of the family's 154-position model. The record is from RNAcentral.